RNAcentral lists this long non-coding RNA (1031 nucleotides) under Camarhynchus parvulus. Its description in RNAcentral is "lncRNA (ENSCPVG00000017791.1)". The record is from RNAcentral. Lineage: Eukaryota; Metazoa; Chordata; Aves; Passeriformes; Thraupidae.
UGGGGAUUUUUGGGGUAAAUUUGGGGAUUUUGGGGGUAAAUUGGGAAAUCUGGGAAAAUUUGGGGGAUUUUGGGGAGAUUUUUGGGGAUUUUGGGGUUGAAUUUUGGGGGGAUUUCUGAGGAUUUCGGUCAAAUUUUGCCGGAAUUUUGCCUGAAUUUGAUCAAAUUUAUCACAAAUCCCUGAAUUUCCCCGAUUUUGCCCACAACCCCCCAAAUCCUUCCCCAAAUUCCCCCCAAAAUUCCCGCCAAAAUCCCGAAUUUUCCCCUCAUUUCCCGCCAAGUCCCCGCGAGGGGGCGUGGCUUCCUCCAAGCCACGCCUCCUCUCUCUAAGCCACGCCCCUUCACGCCAAGCCCCGCCCCCAGGACCCGCCGGAAGUGGCGCGGUUGAAGCGAUACCUCCGAGCCGCCGGGGGGCGCCCCAACUACAAGCAGCUCUUCCGGAAGUGCCGCAGCCGCCGCGAGGUGCUGGAGGCGCUGAGGGGAGCCCUGCGCGACCUGGGGCUGCGCGGCACCCCCUCCCUGGCCCGGUGCCGCCCGCCGCCCGCAGGCAAAAAACCAACUCCGCCCCGCCUCCAACAUCUUACCCGGUAAAAACCCCCCAAAAAAAACCCCAAAAACCCCCAAAUUUCCCCAAAUUCACCAUUUCUAACCUCUUCCCUUCCAUCCCCAGCGAGAUCCCGGCGGAGAAACCCCGAAAAUGCCCCAAAAUCGCCCCCGAAAUCGCCCCUUCCCCCCCCGGAUUGGUCGCGGCUCCGCGGCGUCGUCAGCUCGGACAGCGAGUGAAGGGAAUUUGGGACUUUUUUUUUUGGGGGGAAUUCUCGGGGUUUUGGGGUUUUUUUUUUUUUAACGGGCUCGGUGUUUGCGUUGUAAAGUUGUUGUAAAAAUUAAAAAGGUUGUUGUAAAAAUGGCUGGGAAAAUCCAUAAAAUGGCCCAAAAGUCGAUGUGAAAUUCCCUAAAUUCAGCCCAGAAAUGGCCCCAAAAUGGCUCAAAAAUACCCCAAAAAUCGCCCUAAAAAUGCCCCAAAAAUUCCCC